RNAcentral lists this ribosomal RNA (656 nucleotides) under Ramaria rainierensis. Its description in RNAcentral is "eukaryotic LSU rRNA". The record is from RNAcentral. Lineage: Eukaryota; Fungi; Basidiomycota; Agaricomycetes; Gomphales; Gomphaceae.
CCUCCGACUUCUAUUCUACAUAUACCUGUGCACCACUGGUGAGCGCCUCCCGCUUGGAGACGUCCUGCUAAUGUGGGACCGAGGUGCUCCCUCUCUUUUAUACAACUGCAGCCUGUCUUGAUGCAUGUUUAAUGCUCUGCGGAGCGAAAUGUAAUACAACUUUCAACAACGGAUCUCUUGGCUUUCGCAUCGAUGAAGGACGCCGCGAAAGUGCGAAACGUAAUGUGAAUUGCAGAAUUCAGUGAAUCAUCGAAUCUUUGAACGCAUCUUGCGCUCCUUGGUAUUCCGAGGAGCAUGCCUGUUUGAGUGUCGUGAACUCUCUCGGCCCCUCGUCCCUUUUGGUAGGGACUUGGGUUCGGAUUUGGAYGCUUGCCGUGGCCUUCUGUGUGGCCUUUGGCUCGUCUUGAAAUGCAUCAGCUGGUCCCCUAAGCUUGGUUCAACAACGGUGUGAUAAGGAACGCUUCGUGACUGUGGCGCCGUUUGUAAUCGACCCUGGGGAGGGCCGCUCCUAAUCGUCUUCGGACAACGCUUUCAUGUCAUUUGACCUCAAAUCAGGUAGGACUACCCGCUGAACUUAAGCAUAUCAAUAAGCGGAGGAAAAGAAACUAACAAGGAUUCCCCUAGUAACGGCGAGUGAAGCGGGAAGAGCUCAAAUU